AAGAUUAAGCCAUGCAUGUCUAAGUAUAAGCAUUAUACAGUGAAACUGCGAAUGGCUCAUUAAAUCAGUUAUCGUUUAUUUGAUAUUACAUUACUACUUGGAUAACCGUGGUAAUUCUAGAGCUAAUACAUGCUAAAACGGCCGGGUUUCCGGCUGGUAUUUAUUAGAUAAAAACCAAUGCCCUCGGGCUCUAUGGUGAAUCAUAAUAACUUGUCGAAUCGCAU
Molecule: ribosomal RNA, 224 nt
Filed under: uncultured fungus
Lineage: Eukaryota; Fungi
Description: partial 18S ribosomal RNA
Rfam family: Eukaryotic small subunit ribosomal RNA
Source: RNAcentral